UACGAAGGGUGCAAGCGUUACUCGGAAUUACUGGGCGUAAAGCGUGCGUAGGUGGUUUGUUAAGUCUGUUGUGAAAGCCCCGGGCUCAACCUGGGAAUGGCAAUGGAUACUGGUAAGCUAGAGUGCGGUAGAGGGUAGUGGAAUUCCCGGUGUAGCGGUGAAAUGCGUAGAGAUCGGGAGGAACACCAGUGGCGAAGGCGGCUACCUGGACCAGCACUGACACUGAGGCACGAAAGCGUGGGGAGCAAACAGG
Molecule: ribosomal RNA, 253 nt
Filed under: uncultured bacterium
Lineage: Bacteria
Description: partial 16S ribosomal RNA
Rfam family: Bacterial small subunit ribosomal RNA
Source: RNAcentral